AGUCACGUUCUGAAGGAACUUGAGUCUUGUUUUAUUCACUAUUGAUCUGUGAAUCUGAAGAUUAAUAAUCACUUUCUCAGAUGCUUUGUUGUUGCUGGAAAUGGGAAUUUUUAGGGUUCUGAAAGGCAUCUGGCCGUGUCAAAGGAGCUAUUUCCAGGAGAGUAAACCGUUGCCCAGAUACCCUGUGUCGGAUGUACUAAAGGAGCAGAGCAGAGUCAGUCACCUGCAGCUGCAAAUCUGCUGUUUGAGCUCAGAUAUUUGGGGUGCCCAGAACUUGCUGAUAGAAAGUUAAGCAGCAG
Long non-coding RNA from Labeo rohita (rohu), 299 nucleotides. RefSeq lists it as uncharacterized. The record is from RefSeq and is a predicted model, not a curated record. Lineage: Eukaryota; Metazoa; Chordata; Actinopteri; Cypriniformes; Cyprinidae. The transcript has 3 exons.